This 451-nucleotide ribosomal RNA is filed under the name uncultured organism. RNAcentral describes it as "partial 16S ribosomal RNA". It matches the Rfam family "Bacterial small subunit ribosomal RNA", at positions 334 to 801 of the family's 1533-position model. The record is from RNAcentral.
CACUCCUGCGGGAGACAGCAGUGGGGAAUCUUGCGCAAUGGGCGAAAGCCUGACGCAGCCAUGCCGCGUGAAUGAUGAAGGUCUUAGGAUUGUAAAAUUCUUUCACCGGGGACGAUAAUGACGGUACCCGGAGAAGAAGCCCCGGCUAACUUCGUGCCAGCAGCCGCGGUAAUACGAAGGGGGCUAGCGUUGCUCGGAAUUACUGGGCGUAAAGGGAGCGUAGGCGGACAUUUAAGUCAGGGGUGAAAUCCCGGGGCUCAACCUCGGAAUUGCCUUUGAUACUGGGUGUCUUGAGUAUGAGAGAGGUGUGUGGAACUCCGAGUGUAGAGGUGAAAUUCGUAGAUAUUCGGAAGAACACCAGUGGCGAAGGCGACACACUGGCUCAUUACUGACGCUGAGGCUCGAAAGCGUGGGGAGCAAACAGGAUUAGAAACCCGUGUAGUCCCAUGAU